ACAUGGCUAUGAUUGGUUAUAUGAGUUUGUGAAAUUACAAACCUAAUUUCUGGGUGGUGUCAAAGAUGGGAUUACCUGAAACGGAUUCCCACGUUGCUUUGUGAUUUGGUGAUUAUGGUUCUUGACUUCUCUAAGAGAGGAAUAAAAGUGCCACACUCACUAAUGACCAAAUUGGUCAGUUCCACUCAUAUGCCCCCUAUAGCCUCUUUACCAUCUAGCCUUUCCAGAGUUAACCUAUUGUAAAAUUAGAUUGUAAAAAUGGACAGAGUGGCCACCACUCUGGGAUAAGGGUGAAGGACUCAUGGUGUCAUCCCCACUAAAUACUCCAGUGGAAAUUAUCACUUAAUUAUUUGUGAUAUCACCCAGCUCCCCAAAGAGCUGGCCUUCCUUUUCAGCCCCAGUUAUCUUUUGGAAGUGUAACUCUUUCAGUUUGAUUGUCCUGGGAACACAUGCAGUUUUCUCUUGAUGGGGAAACCCCUCUCUGAAGGUCUGCGUUUUAAGUGGCAGAGAUGCAAAAACAGCCUUCUAGACAGAGUUUCUAAUUGAAUUCUCCUCUAUACCGUUAUCCAUAAACUGAGUAAUGCAUCCAAGGAAGAAGAGAGGAUGAGAGAGGUCAGGAAGUUUAGAUUCCAGUAAAAUUUAAAUAGCCACUGAAUUUGCCAUAGCAAAACAUGAGCUAUGAUUCUGUUAGUACACAGGAAAAGUCAAUUAGGUGAACUGAUUUUUUAUGGUGUUGGGAAUAUUAUAAUUCAGGGAUUCUUAACCUAUAGCUUAACCUAUAGGCAAUUUAAGACUAGAUUUCAGGGGUAGGGCAGUGAAACUUCUAAAAUUGCUGUAACAUUUUUUAUUAAGUCAUAGGCAGUUUCCUAGGGAGAGGCUUUUAUCAAAUUCUCAGAAGGGUCCACUGCCAUAAAAGAUUAAGGAACCACUGCAUUCUAUCAUCAUAAUUUUUUGUCUUCUUUCAAAAGUUGAUAUUCUGGUUUUUUUUAUGCAGAAAAGACAAAAGCAUGUACAACUCUGAUAUUUCAUGAUCUUUAAUUUCUUCCCCCUCCUGGAUGUCCUAUAAUAAAUGUACAGGAAAGAAAUAUAAAACGCUAUCCAAACUCAGUUAAUAGCUCUGAGAAAUGCACACUCAGAGUGCUUUAAAAUCAGGUUACAAAUAUCAUUUUCAAUUUGCUGGGGAGAAAAUAGGAAGAGUCCCUUGGAAUACAGAAUAAAUUCAUUCUAUGUACAUUAUCAGUGUUGGUUCAUUAUAUUCUCAUUGGCCCACAACUCAACACAUCUUUAAGAAGCAAAAGUGCAUACACUCUCCCUUACUGACAAUAUUUAGGGGAAGACCACAUACUUUGUGAACUACUGUGAGUUGAGUUCUUGUAGUCAAAGCAGUAGUAGGUGGAGCUUCAUUCUCUGGUAUUAAAAUCCUAAAAGUGAGUAGUGUUAUUAAUUGGGGGCACUUUUGAGAUUUGAUUAAGAAAUUUACUGCUCUUGUGGGUUGUUUCCUCCCUUGUGGGAUGUUCUGGAUGAAUGUCAAGGUCUAGCCCCGGCAGAUUCCAGAAAGCUUGUCCAUCUAAAUUUGCUGUUAAGCCAUGGGAACUUUUCUAUUGCAGUCUUUGGGUCAUGGUAACGUGUAAAGCCUAGAGUUUGUUGAAGGGCACUUUUCUCUCUCUAAAAUUCUCCAUUCCUCACAACUGGUUUUUAUUAUUCCGUGACAUGCUGGGAGUGUUGCUAUGACUGUUUGAGAAGUAUGGGCAGAUAUAUUGCUGGCUGGCUUCUUACAGGAAGAGUUUCCCAUGAUGAACGGGAGCAGUGAUAGAUCACACCUACUAGAGCUGAAGUGUGGAUUGAGCCAGGACUUGAAGAGUAAAUGGAAAAUGAAAAAAAAAAAAAAAAGGCUUGGGGGAGGGUGGUUUCUUUUAUUUCUCACCUUAUUCUACUGGGCUGUUGUCUUUCCCUAAGAUCAUGGCAAAAAGUUUCAGAGAUUAUGUACAACAACUGUAUUGGAACCCUGCAACCAUUACAAAAUUGAAUUAGAAGUAAUUGGUUUUAUGCUACUCUGAGCACCCACCAUAGCUUAAACACAUACACACAUGCGUGCACGCAGGCACACACACACACAAACACACACACACGGGUGAUAAUGAAAAAUACUUUGGUGGCCUCAGGAAAUGAUAGAAUUUUCUCCCAUGUUUAGCUCCCACUCUCCUGAGGAACAGGUUGAUAGCUGUGACUAUUCUUCUUUGAUACCACACCAAAACUUAACAAGUUUCUCAAAAGUUAGUUGUGUGAUACCUGAAACAAUAUCAAUGAAUUUUUUAACUCCUUACAUUAAAAUACAUUGGUAUAUCUUUCACUAUGAAUAGGUCUUUUACCCAUCAUCAUUUUGUAACAUCACUCAUUGGUCAUUUGAAAAAUAUUGGUUCACUGAGUUAUGUUCAUUGAGUUAUGUGACAUACUUUGUUAGACAAUAUCAACGAUUUAUGUUCAUUAAUAUCACCAUUGAUCUCAUCAGAAAAGCACAAAUGUCAGUUGGACUGGAAUUUGAGAUGUUCCAUCAGUCUGUUUAAUCCUUUAGGUCUGACCAUGAUCUGAGAUGAAGUUUGUUCCUUGGUUUUGCUUUUGCUGGUUUGUGAUCUUGGUUCUCGACUUAGACUUGGAAGGCUGGACAGAGUCAGAGAGAUUGGCAGUGAUAAUCUUUACACGUGCUUUCUCCUUAUGUCAUUUUACAUUUGGAGCAAUCCCUUGAACUCAUAGGAUGAGUAUUGUUAGUUCCAUUUUACAGACAAGAAAAGAAGGCUCAGAGUAGUGAAAUGACUUGCCCUUUGAGUAGUUGAUGUCUAACUCCAAAUAUUUAUUCCACUAUUUUCUCUACUAAUCAUGGUAUUUCUCAUCACCAUUGCUAUGCCUGUGAGUAGAAUUUUUAUCCCUGUUUUCAGAGGGAAAACACUAGGAUUUUAAGAAACUUUUCCCCCUUGAUAAUCCAUCGAUUCAGUAGUUGUGCCAGAUACCAACCAGAGACCUCUUUGUAGGUCACACUCAAUCCCUAACAAGUCUAAAAGAAACAGGGCCAGGCAUGGUGGCUCAUGCCUGUAAUCCUAGCACUUUGGGAGGCUGAGGUGGGUGGAUUGCCUGAGCUCAGGAAUUUGAGACCAGCCUGGGCAACACAGUGAAACCCCAUCUCUACUAAAAUACAAAAAAAUUAGCUGGGUGUAGCAGCGUGCACCUGUAAUCCCGGCUACUUGGAAGGCU
This 3246-nucleotide long non-coding RNA is filed under the name Homo sapiens (human). RNAcentral's name for it is "HSALNT0330471". The record is from RNAcentral. Lineage: Eukaryota; Metazoa; Chordata; Mammalia; Primates; Hominidae.